UACGGAGGGGGCUAGCGUUAUUCGGAAUUACUGGGCGUAAAGCGCACGUAGGCGGAUUGGAUAGUUGGAGGUGAAAUCCCAGGGCUCAACCUUGGAACUGCCUUCAAAACUUCCAGUCUUGAGUUCGAGAGAGGUAAGUGGAAUUCCGAGUGUAGAGGUGAAAGUCGUAGAUAUUCGGAAGAACACCAGUGGCGAAGGCGACUCGCUGGACAAGUAUUGACGCUGAGGUGCGAAAGCGUGGGGAGCAAACAGG
RNAcentral lists this ribosomal RNA (253 nucleotides) under uncultured bacterium. RNAcentral describes it as "partial 16S ribosomal RNA". It matches the Rfam family "Bacterial small subunit ribosomal RNA", at positions 524 to 776 of the family's 1533-position model. The record is from RNAcentral.